UACGUAGGGUGCAAGCAUUGUCCGGAAUUAUUGGGCGUAAAGAGCUCGUAGGCGGUCUGUCGCGUCUGCUGUGAAAACUCAGGGCUUAACCCUGAGCUUGCAGUGGGUACGGGCAGACUAGAGUGCGGUAGGGGAGACUGGAAUUCCUGGUGUAGCGGUGAAAUGCGCAGAUAUCAGGAGGAACACCGGUGGAGAAGGCGGGUCUCUGGGCCGUAACUGACGCUGAGGAGCGAAAGCAUGGGGAGCGAACAGG
RNAcentral lists this ribosomal RNA (253 nucleotides) under uncultured bacterium. Its description in RNAcentral is "partial 16S ribosomal RNA". It matches the Rfam family "Bacterial small subunit ribosomal RNA", at positions 524 to 776 of the family's 1533-position model. The record is from RNAcentral.